RNAcentral lists this ribosomal RNA (495 nucleotides) under uncultured bacterium. RNAcentral's name for it is "bacterial SSU rRNA". It matches the Rfam family "Bacterial small subunit ribosomal RNA", at positions 899 to 1397 of the family's 1533-position model. The record is from RNAcentral.
ACUCAAAUGAAUAGACGGGGACCCGCACAAGCAGCGGAGCAUGUGGUUUAAUUCGAAGCAACGCGAAGAACCUUACCAGGACUUGACAUCAAGUGCAAUCUGUUGAAAGACAGGCCUCCUUCGGGACACGAAGACAGGUGGUGCAUGGUUGUCGUCAGCUCGUGUCGUGAGAUGUUCGGUUAAGUCCGGCAACGAGCGCAACCCCUAUGAUCAGUUGCCAAUAUUAAGUUAGGAACUCUGGUCAAACUGCUAUGGAUAACAUAGAGGAAGGUGGGGAUGACGUCAAAUCAUCAUGCCCCUUACGUUCUGGGCUACACACGUGCUACAAUGGGCGCUACAAAGAGCAGCAAAACCGUAAGGUCGAGCGAAUCUCAAAAAAGCGUUCUCAGUUCGGAUUGAGGGCUGCAACCCGCCCUCAUGAAGCAGGAGUUGCUAGUAAUCCCGAAUCAUCAUGUCGGGGUGAAUGCGUUCCCGGGUCUUGUACACACCGCCCGU